GACGAACGCUGGCGGCGUGCCUAAUACAUGCAAGUAGAACGCUGAAGGAGGAGCUUGCUUCUCUGGAUGAGUUGCGAACGGGUGAGUAACGCGUAGGUAACCUGCCUGGUAGCGGGGGAUAACUAUUGGAAACGAUAGCUAAUACCGCAUAAUAGCAGUUGUUGCAUGAUAACUGUUUGAAAGGUGCAAUUGCACCACUACCAGAUGGACCUGCGUUGUAUUAGCUAGUUGGUGGGGUAACGGCGCACCAAGGCGACGAUACAUAGCCGACCUGGGAGGGUGGUCGGCCACACUGGGACUGGGAAACGGCCCCGGCUCCUUCGGGAGGCAGCAGUAGGGAAUCUUCGGACAUGGGCGGAAGUCUGACCGAGCCACGCCGCGUGAGUGAAGGAGGUUUUCGGAUCGUAAAGCUCUGUUGUAAGGGAAGAACGAGUGUUAGAGUGGAAAGUUCACACUGUGACGGUAUCUUACCAGAAAGGGACGGCUAACUACGUG
This 495-nucleotide ribosomal RNA is filed under the name uncultured bacterium. RNAcentral describes it as "partial 16S ribosomal RNA". It matches the Rfam family "Bacterial small subunit ribosomal RNA", at positions 28 to 507 of the family's 1533-position model. The record is from RNAcentral.